UGGGGAAUAUUGCACAAUGGGCGCAAGCCUGAUGCAGCGACGCCGCGUGAGGGAUGGAGGCCUUCGGGUUGUAAACCUCUUUUAUCGGGGAGCAAGCGAGAGUGAGUUUACCCGUUGAAUAAGCACCGGCUAACUACGUGCCAGCAGCCGCGGUAAUACGUAGGGUGCAAGCGUUAUCCGGAAUUAUUGGGCGUAAAGGGCUCGUAGGCGGUUCGUCGCGUCCGGUGUGAAAGUCCAUCGCUUAACGGUGGAUCUGCGCCGGGUACGGGCGGGCUGGAGUGCGGUAGGGGAGACUGGAAUUCCCGGUGUAACGGUGGAAUGUGUAGAUAUCGGGAAGAACACCAAUGGCGAAGGCAGGUCUCUGGGCCGUUACUGACGCUGAGGAGCGAAAGCGUGGGGAGCGAACAGG
This 409-nucleotide ribosomal RNA is filed under the name uncultured Bifidobacterium sp. Its description in RNAcentral is "bacterial SSU rRNA". It matches the Rfam family "Bacterial small subunit ribosomal RNA", at positions 355 to 776 of the family's 1533-position model. Lineage: Bacteria; Bacillati; Actinomycetota; Actinomycetes; Bifidobacteriales; Bifidobacteriaceae. The record is from RNAcentral.